AAGUCGUAACAAGGUUUCCGUAGGUGAACCUGCGGAAGGAUCAUUACCAAAUCCAAAUACCCAAACCCCAUGUGAAUUAUUGUAUAGUCUGUCUUUGGGAGAAAAAGAAGGAGAAAUCUGGAUUUUUCUCCCAAUAGAGUCCGGCAUAACAUUUUGUUGUGUCCAGAUUCGAAAACCCUUUAAACCACUUGAUUUUUCUGUUGGAAUUACUUUUAUUAAUUUUAAAUAAAAGACAACUUUUAACGGUGGAUCUCUUGGCUCGU
RNAcentral lists this unclassified non-coding RNA (263 nucleotides) under fungal sp. RNAcentral's name for it is "partial internal transcribed spacer region". The stretch from base 1 to 46 matches the Rfam family "Eukaryotic small subunit ribosomal RNA", at positions 1786 to 1831 of the family's 1831-position model. Lineage: Eukaryota; Fungi. The record is from RNAcentral.